UAGCUCAAACAGGUAGAGCACAUGCUUAGCAUGCACGAGGUCCUGGGUUCAAUUCCCAG
RNAcentral lists this transfer RNA (59 nucleotides) under Camelus bactrianus (Bactrian camel). It matches the Rfam family "tRNA", at positions 8 to 63 of the family's 71-position model. From Rfam's summary of the family: Transfer RNA (tRNA) molecules are approximately 80 nucleotides in length. RNAcentral also lists the same sequence under 2 other names. The record is from Rfam by way of RNAcentral. Lineage: Eukaryota; Metazoa; Chordata; Mammalia; Artiodactyla; Camelidae.